UUUUCAAAAUUUAGGAAGGCUAAGUAAGUUUAACUUCUUAUUCAUCUGAUAGUCUUUCCAAUUAUCCAAACAGGCGUAGUAGGCAAGUUACUCAGUAACUUGGGAUGGGGUCUCAAUCCCUCUGAAGGAGCAGGCAGGUAGCUUGGGGUUUUUCCUGGAUAUGUCUCUGUCACUAGAAACUCAAUUGUCCCCUGUGACUAGCAGUGCCUUUUUUCAGCUUUGGAAAGGAGGUGGGAGGGCUCUGGGACACAGCUUCUUCCCACAGCCUGGUGCCUUGCUUAGCUGGUUUUGGGAAGGCAGCGCAAAGGCUGCGUGGGGGUGGGGAUGGGAGGACACAAAAUUUUGUCCUUGCCCAGAGCGCCAUAGUACCCAAGUCUGCCACUGCCUGAGGAAUGCUCUACCAGUAUAGAGAUUCACAGGUUCCUUUUGUUUCAGUCUUUGAAAACAUGUUCUAGUCUUUAAAAACUAGUUUGCUAAAACCUUUUCUAUUCCACCAAGCUUAUGCAGGCAAUUAAGCAUAACCUGUACAUUAACCUGUAACAGUAGAUCUCUGGCAUUUUUUUGGGGGGGGGUAUUUUUGUAUGUUGUUGUAAACCACUUUGAUCUUUUUAAUGAAUAGUGUAUACAAACAUUUUUAUAAAUAAAAUAAAUACAGAAACCCAAGCAUACCAGGGAACAAGAUCAAGAAGGAAGAGGCUUUUAACUAUUGAAAAACCCACCUCCUCAGUUCUUUGCCUGCUUCAGCUUUCUCGUUUAUCUUUCCACACAAAAAUCUCAAAAAACUGCAUCUGUAAAAAAUGAAUCAAUCAGCUGUGUAGACUUCCUAAAAUGGAUACAAAGCCAAUAAUUGAGACUAGUGUCCUAGGCAUGAGCUUGGAGGGAGCUCAAAGAGACUUCAAGGUUUAGAACUGUUCUUAGUACACGUUUAGGGGACCCCAAAAAUAUUCUCCAAAAACUCUAUUGUGUCCUCUCCAGAGUGCUAUCAAUACUCCUUGCUCAAAUAAGAAUGCCAAGCAACAGUUGGGCUACAGUUUUAGCUCUAUGGACCUGGAUGGGGUCUGGAACAAACCGUUCAGAUGCUUUUUCACUGAGGUGGAGGUCAGAGGUGGCACUAGCUGCUCCAUCACCUGGAGUGACGCACAUACUGUGCACCUGGAGGUGGGGCCAUGGGGUCAGGGCGAGUGUCCCAUGGGGGUGAGAUGGCCAUGGGGGGUGGAGCAAGCCGCACUUGGAGGGCUGCUUCCUGGGCAUGGGGGGUGGGGAGUCGCACUGCUUUGCCAGCAGCCUUCCUUCCUUCCCCCUUCCUUUUGACAGCUCAGGGGGAGGCUCCCCCCCCAGGAAGCAGCCCGGGAGUGGGGGGCAUGCCUGCGACUCCCAAGCCUCCCCCGAGCUGUCAAAACAAAGGGGGAAGGGGGGAAGGCUCAGGGUAGGCUUGGGAGUCACGGGUGGGCGGCCCGCUAAAUGUCACCCCCCUCAGGGAUGACACCCGGGGCAGACCGCCCCCACCGCCCCUGGCUGCGGUUCAAAGAUAAUUGAGAGAACAAAGCUUGAUUUUUCAUCAGCAAGCAAUAAAAUGUGAUAAAUAUGUUACACAGACUGGAAAUGUUAGAAUUAAUAAGCUGAAAUGUUGACGAAUUACUGUUUGCAUCCUUGACAUAUAAUAAUUGCUUCAUUUGUCAUGGAAAUCUGGGGAACUUAAAAUAGCGAGCACUUGCAAUGGAUUUCUCUUUCUCUCUGCAAAUUGCAACUCAUUCCACACCCAGGAGAUCCAGGAUGAAUGUCUUUUCUAUCAGCCGCAGGCAAUAACUUAUAGCAUUUAAGCCCCCCCCCCAAUCCUCAACAUUUAAAAUAAGAGUCUAAUCAAAUUAUUUCUGUUAUUACUUCCAGAAGAAAGCAUGCAGUUCUUCAGCAGAUAAUCAGUCACUGCUAUAGACACAGCUCUCUUUUCUUCAGCAAUCUGUACCUGCCCACUUGGCAGUCUUAAUUUGUCAAUAUGAGAAAUUCACUUUUCUGCAGAGAGGAACACUAUUGAGUGGCUGGAUAUGUGCAACUUUAAAUGGAAAUGGCACCACAAAUUGAUUAAACUAUAAAUACCUUCUCGAGAUAACAGCUUUUAUUUAUUCUGGAGAAGAUGAAAUGCCUUUCCAUUCAUUGGCUACCACUCUCUUCCAUGUGUUCAACAAUUGCAUGCCAAGAGGAGGAGCAUCACAGAAGCAUCAGGCUCCGCCUCCAAUCUCUGCGCAUUUUCUGGAAGAGGAAGGGGGCUGCUUCAGGCAGCAAAUGCUGGGGGGUUGGAAAGAGACCAAUGUGUGGCAUGCAGUCUUCCUGUCACCUUCUAAGCUAUCCUGUGGUGAAAGGUAAUCUUCUUCUUCUUCUUUGGCGAUCACUCGUAGCCGAGUAAGAUUGUCUUCCAUAAACACAGUUUUAACAAUGAGUCCGUAAGUGAUUGUGGAGGCCAAUUCUGGAUCCACACGUCCUUCCACAAUGAGGACAUUGCCAGCAUUCAAUUGUUAGGCCAGUCAGCUUCUGCACGUGGAACAGGGAAUGCAUCUAGUCCUUCACCUCAGGAAACAAAAUGUAUUGGGCCAGCUAUGUGACUGUAUAUAUGGAGGGCCCUGUUCAGGCACUGGAUGAACCUAGGUCUGCUACCCACCAUAGAACAAGAGAACAGCUCCAUAAGUUAUGAAAAGUAUAUAAGUGCAAUUCAUGGGUAAUACCAAAUUAAGGGUCUACUCUGAAUGCAAUGUCCAAUUCUGGUUUGGAGGGCAAGUUUGAAUGAUAGUGCUUAGCAGCCAGCAUUUCUGAUAUUUUGAACCACCGUGAGUUUAUACUGAAUUGUAUUAAUGGUUCGAUGCUGCUGCUGCUGCUGAUGACGAUGACUUUGAUAGUUGUUGUUGUAGGCAUGCAUCUGUCUUGGGAGACAAUGAAGGAGUGCACCAUUGGGAGGGGGGGCGGGUGAAGUCAAGCUGUUAGACCGAUGUGGGAGAGACAUGUUUUGUUGCAGCUGGGGCAGACGAGGGUGUCCGAUUGUGCUGCUUCAGACGCACCAUGGCAUUUCUUCUCUCGAUGGUCUUCCCAGUGGUUAUUUCUCCUCUGGUCACUGCUGUGGAUUUUGUUGUCUUUUUUUCUUUCUUUCUUUCUUUCUUUCUUUCUUUCUUUCUUUCUUUCUUUCUUUCUUUCAUAAUAAAUAAAUUCUUAAAUAAAGUGGCCUUAGUUCAACCCAACCUCUGUCUCUGUCUCUUCAUUUGGCUAUCAGGUCCCAAUAAAGUGACUCCUUUUACUGUUGGUAGAAAUGAUCAGCGCAAGGUGUACCUGCCCUAUCGAUAGGCACAUACCCUCCAAACAUUUCUCCAAUGAAAAUAGGGACAUCCCAUUCCAUAAUGAUAAUUUUACUAUUUAUACCCCACACAUCUUACUGGGUUGCCCCAGCCACUCAGGGCAGCUUCCAACAUAUAU
Non-coding RNA from Podarcis lilfordi (Lilford's wall lizard), 3456 nucleotides. Lineage: Eukaryota; Metazoa; Chordata; Lepidosauria; Squamata; Lacertidae. The record is from the annotation of a GenBank genome assembly.